CGCAAAUCUUUCUUGCUUCUCACCUUAUGUAAGUCUGCAAUGUUGUACUGAGUCUAGGUUCAAGAAUCUGCCCUUGGAAUGCAACAGAGAUACAAAGAAUGGUAAUUACAGCCUCUUCCUCAGAGGAACCUACACUUGAGUUGGGUUAGGGAAAGAUGAAACAAAUACACGGGUAUGGCAAAAUGUACCAAGGGUCACAAAUGUAACACAAAACUCCUCUGGAAAUUGGAUAGAUUGAGAAGUGGAAUCCUUGGAGUGUCAAGGAAGACUUCAUGAAAGAGACAGUAUUUGAGUGGAACUUAGAAGGGGUGAUUUCAUCAGAAGGAGGAAAAUGUCUUUAUCAAGUGAAAAGAUUGGCAGAAAAAUAACUGUGGCCUUCAACUUCUAAUAACUCAGCCUAGUAUCUCGGAGCUAGAAAAUCUGCACGGCUAGAUUUUCUUCUAGUCAUUCUUCCUGGCAA
Molecule: long non-coding RNA, 460 nt
Organism: Aethalodelphis obliquidens (Pacific white-sided dolphin)
Lineage: Eukaryota; Metazoa; Chordata; Mammalia; Artiodactyla; Delphinidae
Exons: 3
Source: RefSeq, a predicted model, not a curated record